GGGAUGUUAACUUAAUGGUAAAGUAUUAUAUUCUUAAUAUUAAUUAUAUUGGUUCAAAUCCGAUACAUUCCA
Non-coding RNA from Pyrrhoderma noxium, 72 nucleotides. The record is from the annotation of a GenBank genome assembly. NCBI's taxonomy places the organism in Eukaryota, Fungi, Basidiomycota, Agaricomycetes, Hymenochaetales, Hymenochaetaceae.